This is a non-coding RNA of Cyanistes caeruleus (blue tit), 467 nucleotides long. Lineage: Eukaryota; Metazoa; Chordata; Aves; Passeriformes; Paridae. The record is from RefSeq and is a predicted model, not a curated record.
CUCAGCUGCAGAAGUCACACCUCCACAUGGCCCCGCCAGAUAGCCGUAACUGGUGAACUAAGCUGACUUCUGCCCCGGUCAAGAGAGGACAGAAUCUACAUCUAGCAUGUCAAGCUGUGGGAAGUAAUGAGACAGCCACGAGACAAAAGCUUUCAACUUAUUUCUAGAAAUCUUAACAUCUGUGGCAGAGAGAACCAGACAAUGAAAUUAGAAGUACAAGACAUUAAAAUGUGUUUAAAGUCAUCAGAGCAUUGUAAAAUUAUAGCUUCUGACUUUAGACUGUGUGACCUUUUUGAUGUCUGCUGAAAUGAGAACCAAUGUUACUGACUCUGAAAGCAACCGUGUGGCAUAAUGGGAAUUCUAUCUCCAGUACAGUUUACUUCUGGCUUCUUUUGCAAAUGAUCCUCAUAUGAAAAUAUCUACAAUUACAGUAGUUACUUUACAAGAAAAGCCUUUUGGACUGUAAA